UGCAUGAAGUCGGAAUUGCUAGUAAUCNCGGAUCAGCAUGCCGCGGUGAAUACGUUCCCGGGCCUUGUACACACCGCCCGUCACACCAUGGGAGCCGGUAAUACCCGAAGUCAGUAGUCCAACCUCGUGAGGACGCUGCCGAAGGUAGGAUUGGCGACUGGGGUGAAGUCGUAACAAGGUAGC
This 183-nucleotide ribosomal RNA is filed under the name uncultured bacterium. RNAcentral describes it as "partial 16S ribosomal RNA". It matches the Rfam family "Bacterial small subunit ribosomal RNA", at positions 1317 to 1500 of the family's 1533-position model. The record is from RNAcentral.